CAACAGCUGCAGGUAUUGUUUACGAGUUAAUUGUAGCCUAUUCAGUCAAGUUUGUCAACUGUUCAGUAUAAAUAUAGCAUCAGUGUUUAUAUUGGUAAAAUUUAAUACUGUUUACGAUAGUUUUUCACGCUGGAAAGCGUUUUUUGCUUGUCCUACUUUUUGCACUGUUGUGACAGAGCAACUAAAAUUGAUUGAGUUUUUACUGCUUUUUUAAGUGCUUUUAUUUUUCUAUUUUCCCACGUUUUCCUGAUCAAUAUGUCAGUGACGUACACCGCCCCUAUGGGCUAUGGAUAGCAGUCGUUCGUUGGCUGAAUAUAUAGUCUGUAUAGGCUAUAUAUCUUGCUAAAUAUAUAUAGUUUUAUCAUAUCAUAUCAUAUCAUAUCAUAUCAUAUCAUACAUAGGCCUAAUUCAUAAAUGUCAUAAAUCAGUAGGAUUCAUUUGAAGUGCACAGAAUUAAUUAAAUUAAUAUAUAGAAUUAGUUAUACAAGUUAUCUCGUACAAUGAAAUAUUAUAUUUAUAGAUAUAGUGAAAGUUAAUCAAGGUCGUUAGGCGAUGUUAUAUUCCAGUAAUUCCGUAAUUUUCCACGUCGUGCGUCAGUGUAAAAUAUUUUAAAUUGUUAAAGAUCCCAUCCCGCUGUGCGUGUUGUUUCAAAACUUUAAAUUACGUCAUUAUUAUAUGCAUCUGAUAUGAUUUUUGUGCUUCCCUCCCCUGUCUGCAAAUUUUCUUGUCUGCAUGUGUAGCGCUUCAGAGGUGCUGCUGCAUGAUUCCUGUCUACAUUGUAUCAGUGUAUAUGUCACGGUAUAUAUAAUAAGUAUAAGUUAUCAUAUGAGGGGCGAGGCGAUAUUAGUUUUACUUUUAUCGCUUGAGGGACGAUAUCAUUAAUGUCAUAAGAGUGAGCGCAGCGAACGAGACAUUUAUGAUAUCGUCCAGAAAGCGAUAGAACUGAUAUCGCCUCGACCCGAUUAUGAUAACCUGUUUAUUAUAUACUUGUGCCUUUAUCAAGGUCAGGAUUUAUUGCAAUAUUAAUCAUUGCCCCCAAUAUAACAAUUAUUAAAAUAGCGGGACAAAAAAGAUAUCAGUGACAUAUCGUUUUUCACCCGUAAUCGCACUGAUAAACUCAAGGUAUACAAGUAUGUGAUAAUUCCCUUUAUAGGUUCAUUGUUCGUGAUACCCCACGGUGCGGAGUUGCGGCGGAGCAUGCAACAGCACAUUAUUAGAGAAAUUACAACGGCGUGCUGCAAGAAUUAUAACCAAAGAAAGAAGAAGGGAUGACGAUGGAAAUGCUUAAAUAGCCAUUGUUAGAGGACAGGAAGUGCAUGGAACCAUACUCAUAACUGGUGAAGAAAUGUGUGGCGGACAUUGUCCACCGUAUUUUAAGAAUUAUUUUGCAUUUGAUCAUGCACCAGAUACAUGACAGGGUUACUAGGCAAAGUAGUGAUUACACUUACCACGGGUGAGAACAGAAAUAGAAAGCAUUCAUUUUAUUAUAAUAGAAUUGCUUAACUUAUAUUAAAACCAUA
This is a non-coding RNA of Paramuricea clavata, 1520 nucleotides long. The record is from the annotation of a GenBank genome assembly. NCBI's taxonomy places the organism in Eukaryota, Metazoa, Cnidaria, Anthozoa, Malacalcyonacea, Plexauridae.